Molecule: ribosomal RNA, 390 nt
Filed under: uncultured bacterium
Lineage: Bacteria
Description: bacterial SSU rRNA
Rfam family: Bacterial small subunit ribosomal RNA
Source: RNAcentral
AUUGAACGCUGGCGGCAUGCCUAACACAUGCAAGUCGAACGGCAGCACAGCAGUAGCAAUACUGUGGGUGGCGAGUGGCGGACGGGUGAGGAAUACGUCGGAAUCUGCCCAGUCGUGGGGGAUAACUAGCCGAAAGGUUAGCUAAUACCGCAUACGACCGAGAGGUGAAAGCGGGGGACCGCAAGGCCUCGCGCGAUUGGAUGAGCCGACGCCGGAUUAGCUAGUUGGCGGGGUAAAGGCCCACCAAGGCGACGAUCCGUAGCUGGUCUGAGAGGAUGAUCAGCCACACUGGAACUGAGACACGGUCCAGACUCCUACGGGAGGCAGCAGUGGGGAAUAUUGGACAAUGGGCGCAAGCCUGAUCCAGCAAUGCCGCGUGUGUGAAGAAGG